GGAGAUGUUCCAUGGGAGUAAGUUUCUUUAAUUCCUUAUUCUCUCUCAUAAAGAUAAUUUUGAUCUGCGUUUCUGGGAACUAAAAAAGGUUAUUUACUGUUAUUGCAGAAUGUUCAUGUCGUCUUGCAAGAGGUUGAGGAUCAUGAAAGGAUCAGAAGCAAGAGGCUUGGGCUGUGGAGUAUGAAAACCCCCACAAGCCAUAGCAGCAACCCAACAGAGCAGGGAAAAGACAACAUUUUUUUGACUAAUAUGAAGAGAAAAUCUUUACAGCUUGGGUUCUUCAGGAAGAUAUUCAAUCUGAAUCUCUGGGUCACGCUACUGACAGAUCCUCCGCAGCUGAACAAAAAUGGCAGAGUGUUUGGACAUCUAUAUGAUGUCAAUUUUGUUGGUCCUUGUGAUCUCAUCAAACCAAAACUGCAUACAGGAAGAUAUUCCCUUCAAAUGCAACUGUGUAAAUGGAAUUUUUUUUAAAAAAAAAAAAAAGACAGGAAAAAGUGAGAAAUGACUAAUUGACUAUCUUUCUCCAUAAUUUGACAUGUUCAAAGCAUUUUCCACUGUUUUGAACUUCAUAUAUAAAAGAAUUACAUACCUUGAGCCACUAGCCAGAAUUUUUUUUUUUUUUUAAAUGUAACCAGAGUCAUGCAGCAUCUUCAACUCAUUAACUGAAUAACAGAAUAUACAUUUUUUUUUUUUUUGGUGAAAACAAAGCAAGUCAUAUUACAGACGAAAUAUCGAUCACAGAUAGGAGGGUGACAAA
Molecule: unclassified non-coding RNA, 757 nt
Filed under: Hevea brasiliensis (rubber tree)
Lineage: Eukaryota; Viridiplantae; Streptophyta; Magnoliopsida; Malpighiales; Euphorbiaceae
Source: RNAcentral